This 614-nucleotide long non-coding RNA is filed under the name Homo sapiens (human). Its description in RNAcentral is "non-protein coding lnc-TK1-4:4". Lineage: Eukaryota; Metazoa; Chordata; Mammalia; Primates; Hominidae. The record is from RNAcentral.
AUGGCCCAGCCACUGGCCUUCAUCCUCGAUGUCCCUGAGACCCCAGGGGACCAGGGCCAGGGCCCCAGCCCCUAUGAUGAAAGCGAAGUGCACGACUCCUUCCAGCAGCUCAUCCAGGAGCAGAGCCAGUGCACGGCCCAGGAGGGGCUGGAGCUGCAGCAGAGAGAGCGGGAGGUGACAGGAAGUAGCCAGCAGACACUCUGGCGGCCCGAGGGCACCCAGAGCACGGCCACACUCCGCAUCCUGGCCAGCAUGCCCAGCCGCACCAUUGGCCGCAGCCGAGGUGCCAUCAUCUCCCAGUACUACAACCGCACGGUGCAGCUUCGGUGCAGGAGCAGCCGGCCCCUGCUCGGGAACUUUGUCCGCUCCGCCUGGCCCAGCCUCCGCCUGUACGACCUGGAGCUGGACCCCACGGCCCUGGAGGAGGAGGAGAAGCAGAGCCUCCUGGUGAAGGAGCUCCAGAGCCUGGCAGUGGCACAGCGGGACCACAUGCUUCGCGGGAUGCCCUUAAGCCUGGCUGAGAAACGCAGCCUGCGGUGAGCAGCCCCGACCCUGACCAUGCCGCCGCUGCUGCGCCCCCAGACCCACUUCCUCAGCUGGGCUAGGUGGUGGGG